UUCUUGGACCGUGGCCAGACAAACUACAGCGAAAGCAUUUGCCAAGAAUGUUUUUAUUAAUCAAGAACGAAAGUCAGAGGUUCGAAGGCGAUCAGAUACCGCCCUAGUUCUGACCGUAAACGAUGCCAACUAGCGAUCCGCCGAUGGAAAUUAUAUUGCCUUGGUGGGGAGCUUCCCGGAAACGAAAGUCUUCCGGUUCCGGGGGAAGUAUGGUUGCAAAGCUGAAACUUAAAGGAAUUGACGGAAGGGCACCACCAGGAGUGGAGCCUGCGGCUUAAUUUGACUCAACACGGGGAAACUCACCCGGCCCGGACACUGUGAGGAUUGACAGAUUGAUAGCUUUUUCAUGAUUCAGUGGAUGGUGGUGCAUGGCCGUUCUUAGUUCGUGGAGUGAUUUGUCUGGUUUAUUCCGAUAACGAGCGAGACUCUAACCUACUAAAUAGUUGGUGCAUACUCUUUGUGUAUACAGCUUCUUAGAGGGAUUUGCGGCGUUCAGCCGAAAGAAAUUGAGCAAUAACAGGUCUGUGAUGCCCUUAGAUGUCCGGGGCUGCACGCGCGCUACACUGGCAAAAUCAACGUGCUUGUCCUACCCUGAAAGGGGCGGGUAAACCAUUGAAAAUUUGCCGUGAUUGGGAUCGGAAAUUGCAAUUAUUUUCCGUGAACGAGGAAUUCCCAAGUAAGUGCGAGUCAUCAGCUCGCGUUGAUUACGUCCCUGCCCUUUGUACACACCGCCCGUCGCUGCCCGGGACUGAGCCAUUUCGAGAAAUUUGGGGUGGUGGUGCAUGGCCGUUCUUAGUUCGUGGAGUGAUUUGUCUGGUUUAUUCCGAUAACGAGCGAGACUCUAACCUACUAAAUAGUUGGUGCAUACUCUUUGUGUAUACAGCUUCUUAGAGGGAUUUGCGGCGUUCAGCCGAAAGAAAUUGAGCAAUAACAGGUCUGUGAUGCCCUUAGAUGUCCGGGGCUGCACGCGCGCUACACUGGCAAAAUCAACGUGCUUGUCCUACCCUGAAAGGGGCGGGUAAACCAUUGAAAAUUUGCCGUGAUUGGGAUCGGAAAUUGCAAUUAUUUUCCGUGAACGAGGAAUUCCCAAGUAAGUGCGAGUCAUCAGCUCGCGUUGAUUACGUCCCUGCCCUUUGUACACACCGCCCGUCGCUGCCCGGGACUGAGCCAUUUCGAGAAAUUUGGGGACCGUUGAUUUAAUUUUUCUAAAUUACUUUGAUGGA
This 1223-nucleotide ribosomal RNA is filed under the name Meloidogyne hispanica. RNAcentral describes it as "SSU rRNA". It matches the Rfam family "Eukaryotic small subunit ribosomal RNA", at positions 917 to 1751 of the family's 1831-position model. Lineage: Eukaryota; Metazoa; Nematoda; Chromadorea; Rhabditida; Meloidogynidae. The record is from RNAcentral.